RNAcentral lists this transfer RNA (74 nucleotides) under Acropora cervicornis. RNAcentral describes it as "tRNA-Thr". It matches the Rfam family "tRNA". From Rfam's summary of the family: Transfer RNA (tRNA) molecules are approximately 80 nucleotides in length. Their secondary structure includes four short double-helical elements and three loops (D, anti-codon, and T loops). The record is from RNAcentral. Lineage: Eukaryota; Metazoa; Cnidaria; Anthozoa; Scleractinia; Acroporidae.
GGCUUCAUAGCUCAGUAGGUUAGAGCGUCACACUGGUAUCGUGAGGUCACAGGUUCAAACCCCGUUGAAGUGCU